GCCAGACCCGCACGAAGGGAUUCACUCCUGCAGAGUCCAGACCCCCGCCUCCGUCUUCGGUCGCCGGACCCGACCCACCCUCCCCUGUCUCGCACAGAUAAGGCAGGAACUACACUCCGCGCUAGGCCCCGUUCACCGGCAUGAUCGCCCCUGCCGCAGCCCUGCUCAAAGCGCCCCCCAUCCCGCCCGUGGUCCCUGCUCGCCGGCGCGCUCCGCCCCAGCACGUCCCAGGUCGCCGGAGAGCUCCGCCCCGAUUCGUCACUCGUCGGCCUACUCCGCCCAGAUCAGCCCCCUUGACACUUGUUAUGCGCGAGCGGCGGCUGCAGGAGUGGACCAAGGCGUGCUUUUCGAUAGGGGACUACCUCCUCAAGCCGAGCAGUGGACGUGGCAGGGGAGGUUGACAAGGCCCGACGCGCUCUCGGGCUGGACGCCGGAGCCUGGUAAUUGAGCCUUAAACAUGACCAUACUUCAUGAUGUAGCAAAGUUGAGCAUCAUUCCACGAGCAUCUGAUGGUUCUCUGGUAGUACAAUUCAAGGUUGUGUAUCAAGUUUUAAAAAGUCUGGUUCCCCUGGUUAGGAAUAUAUUGUUCAUGCUAUUAAUUUUACUUUGAAGGAUCAGAAGAUUUCACUUGAUAAUGAUUUGUUAUCUGAGCUUCCACGGGCUUAGCCAGAACAUACAAAGAGCGCCAUCAUAGGACUGCUUUGAUGACACUGCCACCGUCAAGGGCGACAACGACAAUAUUUUCCUAGCAGGUAUCAACUUCGACAGGAUCCAACUCUGAAUGUUCAAUGGCAAGCUAGAUAAGAUAAGUACACCUAGAUGGUAGCCUCGAGCUUUAUUUUACUUGAAGUAAUAUUUCUACGACACACAACUGGUCCAUGCAUUUCAAUUGGUGGAAGGCAUGUACAAACACAUAAGGCUGUUUUUAUAAUAGAAAUCUGAGAUUAUUAUCUACCUUCCUGCUAACGAAUGUAUAAUAGAUCUUUUCACCGCCAAGAAAUUGCAAAGCAUACUAAAAGCCUAACGGUGCUUAUGUAUACACCAAAUGCAGCAGUCUACCUCUCUGAUUCUUUUUUUAAUGGACAGUUGUAUAUGGAUCUCUUUCUCGAGCUAAAUCCAGAAACAAUCUAAAGUAAUUCACCGGUAGAAUCAGUUGCUUCUCUAAUAAACGAAGAGUUUUCAGCGUGUUGUGCAACUCAUGGAACAUACAAGUAAACAUGCCAUUGUAAUAUACAGAUAGCAGACCAAGGUUUUAAGCUUGGCAUCGUUUCAAACUCUAAAGCCAUUAUUGGUCAUAGAAUCUGGAAGAACUUGAGUGAGCAACAAAGUUACCAUGGUCUCUCUACCUCUUGGGGUAAGUCAAGCUGCCUGAUCGUGUAGUUUUCUCUUACCAUGUGAAGAGAAAUAGCCUGUAGCCAGAUCUACAUAUUAGGGAGAGUAUGAAUUGACGACAGGAUUGUCUGAUCCGUAUUUAAACUGGAUGUUUUUGUACUCUUAUAUUAAAGCUGGCACAGUUUAAAAGUGAAAUUCAUGUCACUCUGCCCUUAACCUAUGAAUUAUGAAGGUUUUUGAGAAUAAUAGAGAUGGAGAGAGAUAUAUCUUGUAAAUGUGUAAAUAUACUGAAUAUUUGUGGGAGUGCAUACCGCUGAAGAUCUAUUGCCUGCAUGCAUGUAAUUUUUUUUUACUGAACCAUUACUACUGUAGGUUGCUUCUGAGAAGGGGAUGUUCAGCUUUGUCGUGAACAUACAAGUAAGCUUGUUCUCUCAGCCCCUCUGCCUUUUUCUUACAGAAAGACAUCCAAACACAGUACAUUAAAGCAUUCUAUUAGCCACUUCCAUUUGCACUGUUUAUUUCAACUCUUGGCUCUGACUACGAAAUUCUAACUCAGGAAUCUGGAUCUGCUCUUUUAGCAAUCCUAUUUUGAACUAUCUCAUAAAAGAUUACCAAUUGGAAAACUGGUAUUUGUUUUUUUUCAGUGACAUGAAGCCACUUCACCCUUUGCUAUAAGAGAAAUUAUAUUAUUAUUCAAUCCUCGACCUGCUGUCAGGUCCUAAAACUUGAUUAUGUUUUGGUUAUGGUCUGUGUUAUAUCCAAAUAAGCAAGUAGAUUUAUGGUCAUGGUAAAGAUUGUUGUCAAGAUCCUGGUCCCAUGUUGCUUCUUUAAGUCUUUCAAGAUGAGCUGACCGUUGCUUCUGUUUAAGUCAUUCAACAUGAGCUGACCGAAUCUUUAUUUCAGUCGCUUGUUCAAAGCAACUAAUGUAAUUCUUUUGCCUGCCUCUCCUGGAAAAUCUGUGAGUUUAUGGUUAAUUCUUGUGAGUGCGUACAUUUUCUUGCCAUACCUUUAAGAUUCAAAAGCAUGCAUAUAUAAGAUCAUUUCAAUUUUAUACCUCGAUCUGUGUGAGCGCAACAUUUUGUAUGUACUUAUUUUGAAACAUAGAAUCAUCCAUAUGCGAUUCUAAUUUUGCAACACAAUCGUAUUUUGGAGACAUAGAAGGUUUUCUUUUGAAAUACAUAUUGUUUUUCUUUGACAGGACAAGACAUUUCAUAAACGGAUAAUAGCAGACUGCAGAAGAAAGGAUGGUCAUAGCAUGAUCAAACUUUUUAAUAUAAGGUUCGUAACACAUGGCCAGUAUGCAUUAUGAAUGCAUAAAGAGAAUGAUUUAUGACAAUAGGAGUUUUUAUUUGUGCGAAAAGUUUUUUAAUGGAAGCACAAAGACAUCGAGGCACAUGUUCUAUUUUCUCCACUGCAAAGUCUUCAUGGCACAUAUUUUGUUUUCUUCAUCAUUUCCAAAUCCAAGGUCUUCAUGAGGCAAUGUCUUCGGAGGUAUCAAUGAACAAUUUCUUUUGGCUAGAAGAUUUAUUUCCAUCAGUUGCUGACCUGUAGUUUGGAUGUAACUUGUGAGAUUAACACCUCUAGGAUGAAUUUACCAGAACACUUAUGUAUUUGAUAAACAAUUUUUCUCUAAAUAAUAUUUCUUGAUUUUUUUUGCAA
Long non-coding RNA from Lolium perenne, 2991 nucleotides. RefSeq lists it as uncharacterized. Lineage: Eukaryota; Viridiplantae; Streptophyta; Magnoliopsida; Poales; Poaceae. The record is from RefSeq and is a predicted model, not a curated record.